AGUGGCGCACGGGUGAGUAACACGUAGCUAACCUACCCUCGAGUGGGGGAUAACCUGGGGAAACCUGGGCUAAUACCGCAUGACGUCCCCGCGAGCAAAGGCCCGCUGGAGGAGGGGGCUGCGGCCGAUCAGCUAGUUGGUAGGGUAACGGCCUACCAAGGCAAUGAUCGGUAGCCGGCCUGAGAGGGCGCACGGCCACACUGGCACUGAAACACGGGCCAGACUCCUACGGGAGGCAGCAGUGGGGAAUUUUGCACAAUGCCCGAAAGGGUGAUGCAGCAACGCCGCGUGAGGGAUGAAGGCCUUCGGGUUGUAAACCUCUUUCGACUGGGAAAAAUGAUGGUACCGGUGGAAGAAGCCCCGGCCAACUACGUGCCAGCAGCCGCGGUAAUACGUAGGGGGCGAGCGUUGUUCGGAAUUACUGGGCGUAAAGGGCGUGUAGGCGGUGCGGUAAGUUGGGCGUGAAAUCCCCGAGCUCAACUCGGGGGGGUCGUUCAAGAC
This 501-nucleotide ribosomal RNA is filed under the name uncultured soil bacterium. RNAcentral describes it as "bacterial SSU rRNA". It matches the Rfam family "Bacterial small subunit ribosomal RNA", at positions 94 to 633 of the family's 1533-position model. The record is from RNAcentral.